Molecule: long non-coding RNA, 3524 nt
Filed under: Capsicum annuum
Lineage: Eukaryota; Viridiplantae; Streptophyta; Magnoliopsida; Solanales; Solanaceae
Description: long non-coding RNA (CANN_LNC019470)
Source: RNAcentral
UCUCAAAGAGGGAAAAGCCGUCUUGAGCAAAUCAGUAAAAAAUUUCCUUUUUAGUUAAAAGUUUUGUUUUCAUAAAAGUCGGUGGUUAAUCGGAGUUUUCGAGUUAACGACGAAGAGGUUAUCCGAUGGUUGUGGGUUCGACGAUAGCUCGAGGUUCCGUUUUGCUGAUCAAAAAUCGGUCAGUACUCGACUAUUUUUCUCUUUUAUUGUUGUGUUGCAAUGGUUGUAGCGGUAGUAGCUUUGAUUAUCAACUUGCUUGCUGGGAGUAGCUGUAGAUGGAUGGCUAUUGGGAUAUUAUUUUGCUGAAUCUGUUGUUCGCGUCGUAAUAUUCGAUUCGUUUGUUUUAGAUAUUGUCUCACAGUUGAUAUAAUGGGGUAGUUUAAUUCACAUUCUUUCUUCUCAUUGUCUUGUUCAAAGUCUAAGGCAUUUAUAUGAUAGUUAGAUAACUUUAGUUUGCUUGCCUGUCGAUGUCAAUGUCGAAGAUGAAGAGUCAUCAUGUAACAAAUACUUUCUCCGUUUAAAAAAAGACUUCUCCUUUUUAGUCUAUUUUAAAAAGAAUGAUUUCUAUUCCUUUUUAAUAACUUUUUAAUUUUAACUUUUCAUGUCACAUGUUUAAACCUAUAAGAUUGAAGAGCAUUUUGGUACAUUUGACAUAUCUUUAAUUUAAAACCACAAGAUUCAAAUUAUAUUUUUAAACUCCGUGUCAAGUUAAACUAGGUCAUUCUUUUUUGUAGGGUGUAUAUAGUUUGGUGUUCCGCACCAUUUAGUUACUUGAUUAUCUCUUAUGACAUCAACGUGUAUCUGCAUGUCUAAUCCUGCAAAUUUCCCAUGCAUUAUUAGUGAUCAAGGAUUUCUUCAUCUUUAGAACUUAUUUCCAAGAGCUAUCAGAUUAGUCUAUUCCCAAAUUUGUAUGUAUACAUAUAACCUAUAUUUUCAUUUUUUUUUUAAAGAAACGAAAAAAAAAGGGUUUUGGGGUUUUUGAUUAUGGUCAAUUGAUUUUUUGAUUAUUUGUAAAGUUAUAUACUUUUUCAAUAAAAAUGGAAUUGGUUGAUCAGUAUGAAUCUUCUCCUUUGGUUCCUCCUCCUUUUGUGAUUACUGACCCUAGUGAGAUAGAUCUUGAAGUUGGUUCUGGUGAACAGAUUCAGUGUAGAAUUUGCCUUGAGACUGAUGGUUAUUUUCUUUCUUUUGACCCCUUUAAUUUCCUUUUUCUUGGUUUUGCUGUUUGUUUAUUUUUGGUUACUUAAUGAGGAUUUUUUUUCGGUGUUUGUAACUGUAAAGGAAGCUGCUUUAGAUGAUUCUUGAGACCAUGUGGUAGAAAUGGAAGUAUUUUGGUGAAUUUGUCUUGAAAAUAUGAUACCAUAACCUGAAAUUAUACAAGUUAAGUGUACUAGUCAAUAUACAUACAAACAAACUUGAAUUCUGGUGAUGACAUAAUGAACAGACUAUUACAUCUUGUAAUUCCCUUAGGUUUAUAGUGCUUCCUUGGGCUUCUAUAGCGAUAUCUUGCCAACUUGAGAGUUAUGUUGUCUACAGAAUGUGGAUACUUUUUGCUCUUUGCUUUUGGAUAUCCACUGCCCAGCUUGAUUUUCUAGUUAAAUAUGUUUUGGCUUCAAAAAUUCUGUGUUAGUCGAUUAUUUCCUAAUCUUUGAUGUCAGUACGGUUCUUUUCUUCAUAUUGAUUCUUUGGGUUAUUACUUAUAAGUUAGAUAUCCAUAUUUGAACAUGUAUUAAUUGUUAUAUUUUUCUCUAUGCAUGUGGAUGUAUUUGAGUCCUAAAUGGACUCUUCCCAUUUUUUGCAUUAUUGAUAUGGGCCACUGAGGCCCAUCCUUCUUGAGUCGAUUUUGAAGGCCCAAAAAGAUAAUCACACUACCAAUGGGCAUAAAAGAUAGAAGAAGAAAAAAAAUGGAUUGAAGUCCCAUCGUUGGAGCAGGCGACGAGACUCGAGAGUCUCAUUCUUUUAUUUAUCCAUUGUUGUUCUAUUUAUUUAUUUACUGUUGCUUUAGUUAUUUAUUUCUUCCUUCUGUUAUCUAUUUGGACCUCGAAGCUAAAGUUGUAAACUAAUACAGGUGAAUCGAAAUUCGAGCCCAAAGGUUCGAAAAUAUAGAUUAGGACAGGUGGAAGAUGGGCCGAAAGCCCAAUAUCUAGACUAGGACAGGGUGAUGGAUUUGGGUUUAAAGGCCGAAAUCAUUUAUUUCUUCCCCUCUUUUCCCUUUUUCUAUUUUUAUUUGCUCGGUAUUUGAAUCUAGUUAACUCCUUAGCUAAGUCGCUAAAAAACUGAUUUUGCAAAAACUUUUCCUUAAACAAUCCCUUUUUCAACAAUCGAUUUCUUAUAAAGUUAGUCAAAAGAAAUAAGUUUCAAACAGUCUAGAUAACCGCAAGUUAGCGGAUGUUUUAGUUGCUUUAAAACCUUUUUAAAACGUUAAUAGGAACUGUUUACCUAGAAUUUCAACUUAAAUGAUUUUCCUGUUUUGAAUCAUGUAAGUACUUUACAAAGGUUUCUUAAUUCCUUUUAAAAAUUAAAUGGCGAUUUUUUUAAGUCAAAGUUUUCACAAAACAGGCAAUGGUUUGAGACCAAUAUUACAGACUCGAUUACUCCAAGGAAAUAAAAAUACAACUCUAUGAGCAAUUAGUUCCUUGUUGCAGCUGCAAUCUUUGAUAAGCACUUCCGAGAGAGAUUUUAUUGUGAGAAUUUGAAGUGUUGAUUUUCUUGCUGUGGAAGCUGAGCAUUAUUUAUCGUGACACAAGAAAAUCGAGGCAAACAGGGGACAACAACUUUUCACUAACUUUUGUACUAUGUGUUAGAAAGUUAACAGCGAUAGGUGAGCCCAACCUAUUCCCUACUACGUAGAGGGCCUUUGUCCUCACAACAAUGGCUCUAUGGAGCAGGCCUCAAAUCAUAAAUUUGUCAAUCAUCAAAACUAAGGACUUAACAAAACUCCACUAUUGCUUAUUAACUUUUCUUUAUGUAGUAGAGAGUUGUUGUUCAGCCAUUGUUAAAGCUCAACUUUUCAAAUUUUGAAAAUUAAAUUUCGCGAUUAAGCUUUGUUUUGAGUGUAUUGAUUGCGAAAGAUUGUUUAUGUAUUAAGGAGCCCAAAUAUGAAAUUUGGGUGAUUGGUCUAGCUUUUAAGGUAUUUUUGGAUGAAUUUGGUGUUUUGAUUGAGGAAGAAGAAGAAGUCCAUUUUUUUUUGUAUAAUAGCAUAUAAAAUUGUAUAUUAAGUGUAUAGAUAACUCUUAUAAUUUUGUAUAAUAUUGUAUAUCAAUUUUUGUAAAAUGUAUAUACGAAGUUUUGUAUAUUGUUGUAUACCAGAUUGAAUUUUGGCUAAAAAUUUGUAAUAUAAGUUUUUGGCUAUAUUUCUCAACGUAGGUCAGGAAAUUGUAUAUUUUUGAAAUUAGGGAAAAUCACACACACACACAUAUAUAUAUAAAACUAACAAAGCCUAUUAAUUAAGGUGCGAAAAAAAGGAAAACCCAAAUACCAAUUAAUUAGCAUGAUCUUAUACUCAAUUCUCUUUUCCUUUUUAAAGC